CUCCCAAGUGUGUGUUGAGGCUGACGUAGGUGCCUGGGUGCGACCGGGGCGCUCUGCCCAUGGCCUUACCUGAGCCUAGGCCUCCUCGCUUGGACCUGGGGUAGUCACAGGCCCCGCCCCCGGGGUAGCGUGAGAUGGAAUGAGUUCAGCACCUGGCUCAGUCUUAGUGUGAACCCCAGUGGGAUAAUUAUUCACUGGCCUUCCAGGCAGGGACCGCCCACUCACCAGCUCCUCUCCUGUGUGGGGGGCGCCUGAGUCAUGGGAACAAGGACGAACAGGACCGAAACGGUGCAAGUUAAAGCAAGCGAAGGACGAGGAUCCCUGUAGGAACCUGGCAUGAGACUUCUGGGCUCUGGGCCUUCGCACUGACCACUGACCGUUCCUUCUGCCUGGAGCACCUUUCCUCUUUUGCCUCUUCUUCUGCUUUAGUUUUUGAUGCCCCUGGGCAGUCGAGGAGUUCCUCCUCUCAUCGCUGCCAGCAACUUAAAGUGGUUGGGUCCACACGUGCCCACUGUAGGACCUCACCAAACCUGUUCCGUCUUCUGAAAAGUGGAGAGAAUAGGAGGACUUACCUCGUGGGUUUAUUAGGAAGAUUUAAGGAGCUAACCCUGGAAAAUGCUUGUACAUCAUACGUUGGAUGCAUAGAAAGUGCUCAAAACUGUCUGCUACUGAGCAAAGUGCUUGUCACUGAGUGCCACCUUUGUGCCAAGCACUUUACAUAAAGUCAUUCUUUUAAUCAGACA
Non-coding RNA from Chlorocebus sabaeus (green monkey), 743 nucleotides. Lineage: Eukaryota; Metazoa; Chordata; Mammalia; Primates; Cercopithecidae. The record is from RefSeq and is a predicted model, not a curated record.